CAGUAUACAACCUCUAGCGCCGCAGCAGCCAGAGUCCCCUUCGAACGGGUUGCGCCUCCACACGUGUGUGCACCUCCGUCUGUUGCUCUAAGCUGGCCUCCAAACUUGCAACAAACAGCAACAACAGAAAAAAGGCAACAAAAAUGCGAGAAAAUAGGGGAUAACAGAAAAAUAGCAUAAAUUUUAUUAUUUUUGGCUAUAAAAAGCUAUUACGAAAUCUGUGAAGGGGGGAUGAAAUUAGAAAACGAAAAAAAAUUGAAAAAAGCAAUAAAAACAGAGAUUUCGAAAGGUGAUUGGAUUUUUUUUCCUCUUUUCCCUUUCUUUCGAUUAUUUUCUUGUUAAUUUACCUUAGAUCCUGAUUUGUUUUGUUUGUUGGGUGUAAAAAGAUAGCAAAGAAGAAGAAGAGAGCUUACCUUUGCAACUAGGCCGUUUGAGCCCUGUCCAUCUUUGUCAAAAUCGAAGAUCGGACGGGGUGAUAGUGUUUAAAUCGGCGCAAAUUUUUCUUGAAGGGAGAAGGCUAGGGUUAAAACCCUAGCAGAGAAUUCCCCUCCCCUCUGUUUUCUUCUUCUUUUAAAAAAAUGAAAUAGAUCAUUUUUUAAAUUUUUUUAAUUUUUAUUUAAGUAUAAAAAGGAAACAACGCCGUUUUGUGUUAGUGCCUUCAGUGCCAAAACGACGUCGUAAGGCUGAGACCCGCGAGGUGACCCGACCCGAGGGGAGGAUCCGCGUCUUUUGUUUGUUGGUCUAUUUGCGCAACAAGUCCCUCUAUUUUUGUGUAGUUUCAAUUUGAUUUUCUUUAAUUUUUUAAUUUGUAUCGCAUAUUUGAUUCCGAUUUCAUUUGGAUCCAAGUUUAAACGGUGUCAUUUUCUACAAUUAAUUUUGAAUAUUCAGAUUUGUGCGCUUAAUUGCAGCAAUAGUCCCUUUGGUAUUCACUGGUCCUCAAUUCGGUCGUUUUCACACUUAUUUCAAAGUUGCCCUUGAGAUUUUGUUUUAUUUUCAAAAUUGUCCUUGUUUACUAUUUUUUAAUUUAUUAUUAUUAUUAUUAUUAAUGUUACUGCUAUUAUAAUUAUUAGUAUUAUUGUUUGUAUUAGUUUCUAUGUUUAUUUAC
RNAcentral lists this long non-coding RNA (1105 nucleotides) under Gossypium barbadense (sea-island cotton). Its description in RNAcentral is "long non-coding RNA (GBAR_LNC021709)". Lineage: Eukaryota; Viridiplantae; Streptophyta; Magnoliopsida; Malvales; Malvaceae. The record is from RNAcentral.